Molecule: ribosomal RNA, 206 nt
Filed under: uncultured bacterium
Lineage: Bacteria
Description: partial 16S ribosomal RNA
Rfam family: Bacterial small subunit ribosomal RNA
Source: RNAcentral
CACGCAGGCGGUCAUACAAGUCAGCUGUUAAAUGCAUGGGCUUAACCGAUGCAUGCGGCUGAAACUGUAUGGCUAGAGUACUGGAGAGGUAAGCGGAAUUCCCGGUGUAGCGGUGAAAUGCGUAGAUAUCGGGAAGAACACCAGUGGCGAAGGCGGCUUACUGGCCAGUAACUGACGCUGAGGUGCGAAAGCCAGGGGAGCGAACC